RNA transcript from Homo sapiens (human), 4976 nucleotides. It is a transcript of the gene named neural precursor cell expressed, developmentally down-regulated 9, with no coding region annotated. The record is from RefSeq and is marked reviewed. Lineage: Eukaryota; Metazoa; Chordata; Mammalia; Primates; Hominidae. The transcript has 10 exons.
ACACAUACAUAUGCCACUCACAUCCGACGUGUGUGGUUGCUCAGUAGGGAAAUGCUUACAGCUGCCUCUAGAAGCAAGUCCGCUCGCUGCAUGGAGAGGGAAACAUGAGCAUGCAGCAGGACUAGCUGUCACCUCCCGCCCGCCUGCCCAGAGAGGGCCAGAGCGUCGGGGAGGCAAGAUGAUCCACCAGCGGUUCCAUCCUACACUUGGAUUCAGUAAGCUGUGAGGUCCGUAAUGUCAGACACUGGCAAACAUCAUAUGUUCUUCAAGUAGAGUUAUGAAAACGAAGAAACUGGUCAGAAGAGUAAAACGCCGGAAUUGUCCUUUCCAACAUCCAGAGCUGCAUCAUUCCUUGGGGCAAAAUGUGGACAAGGAGAAUCAACCAUCAACUGCACACAAAUAAAAAAGCUCUGGGCACCGUAUCAAGCCAAGAACAGCCCAAUCUCCUUUCUGGGCAAACGUUCCAAGAAUCUUAUGGCAAGGGCCUUAUAUGACAAUGUCCCAGAGUGUGCCGAGGAACUGGCCUUUCGCAAGGGAGACAUCCUGACCGUCAUAGAGCAGAACACAGGGGGACUGGAAGGAUGGUGGCUGUGCUCAUUACACGGUCGGCAAGGCAUUGUCCCAGGCAACCGGGUGAAGCUUCUGAUUGGUCCCAUGCAGGAGACUGCCUCCAGUCACGAGCAGCCUGCCUCUGGACUGAUGCAGCAGACCUUUGGCCAACAGAAGCUCUAUCAAGUGCCAAACCCACAGGCUGCUCCCCGAGACACCAUCUACCAAGUGCCACCUUCCUACCAAAAUCAGGGAAUUUACCAAGUCCCCACUGGCCACGGCACCCAAGAACAAGAGGUAUAUCAGGUGCCACCAUCAGUGCAGAGAAGCAUUGGGGGAACCAGUGGGCCCCACGUGGGUAAAAAGUACAUUUGUAGAAAUAAUGUGAAGCCUAUAAAGAUGUUCUCUGCCUCCAGAGAGAAUUUUGUUUCCUUCUGCCAGCCUCAUAGGCAAGCAUACAUCUGAUUCCAUGCUUUGAGCUGUUCUGGCAACCCUGAUGUCUUCAGCCUGUGCAAGGGUGAUAACCCCCGUGAGGACAGGCCAUGGCUACGUAUACGAGUACCCAUCCAGAUACCAAAAGGACGUCUAUGAUAUCCCUCCUUCUCAUACCACUCAAGGGGUAUACGACAUCCCUCCCUCAUCAGCAAAAGGCCCUGUGUUUUCAGUUCCAGUGGGAGAGAUAAAACCUCAAGGGGUGUAUGACAUCCCGCCUACAAAAGGGGUAUAUGCCAUUCCGCCCUCUGCUUGCCGGGAUGAAGCAGGGCUUAGGGAAAAAGACUAUGACUUCCCCCCUCCCAUGAGACAAGCUGGAAGGCCGGACCUCAGACCGGAGGGGGUUUAUGACAUUCCUCCAACCUGCACCAAGCCAGCAGGGAAGGACCUUCAUGUAAAAUACAACUGUGACAUUCCAGGAGCUGCAGAACCGGUGGCUCGAAGGCACCAGAGCCUGUCCCCGAAUCACCCACCCCCGCAACUCGGACAGUCAGUGGGCUCUCAGAACGACGCAUAUGAUGUCCCCCGAGGCGUUCAGUUUCUUGAGCCACCAGCAGAAACCAGUGAGAAAGCAAACCCCCAGGAAAGGGAUGGUGUUUAUGAUGUCCCUCUGCAUAACCCGCCAGAUGCUAAAGGCUCUCGGGACUUGGUGGAUGGGAUCAACCGAUUGUCUUUCUCCAGUACAGGCAGCACCCGGAGUAACAUGUCCACGUCUUCCACCUCCUCCAAGGAGUCCUCACUGUCAGCCUCCCCAGCUCAGGACAAAAGGCUCUUCCUGGAUCCAGACACAGCUAUUGAGAGACUUCAGCGGCUCCAGCAGGCCCUUGAGAUGGGUGUCUCCAGCCUAAUGGCACUGGUCACUACCGACUGGCGGUGUUACGGAUAUAUGGAAAGACACAUCAAUGAAAUACGCACAGCAGUGGACAAGGUGGAGCUGUUCCUGAAGGAGUACCUCCACUUUGUCAAGGGAGCUGUUGCAAAUGCUGCCUGCCUCCCGGAACUCAUCCUCCACAACAAGAUGAAGCGGGAGCUGCAACGAGUUGAAGACUCCCACCAGAUCCUGAGUCAAACCAGCCAUGACUUAAAUGAGUGCAGCUGGUCCCUGAAUAUCUUGGCCAUCAACAAGCCCCAGAACAAGUGUGACGAUCUGGACCGGUUUGUGAUGGUGGCAAAGACGGUGCCCGAUGACGCCAAGCAGCUCACCACAACCAUCAACACCAACGCAGAGGCCCUCUUCAGACCCGGCCCUGGCAGCUUGCAUCUGAAGAAUGGGCCGGAGAGCAUCAUGAACUCAACGGAGUACCCACACGGUGGCUCCCAGGGACAGCUGCUGCAUCCUGGUGACCACAAGGCCCAGGCCCACAACAAGGCACUGCCCCCAGGCCUGAGCAAGGAGCAGGCCCCUGACUGUAGCAGCAGUGAUGGUUCUGAGAGGAGCUGGAUGGAUGACUACGAUUACGUCCACCUACAGGGUAAGGAGGAGUUUGAGAGGCAACAGAAAGAGCUAUUGGAAAAAGAGAAUAUCAUGAAACAGAACAAGAUGCAGCUGGAACAUCAUCAGCUGAGCCAGUUCCAGCUGUUGGAACAAGAGAUUACAAAGCCCGUGGAGAAUGACAUCUCGAAGUGGAAGCCCUCUCAGAGCCUACCCACCACAAACAGUGGCGUGAGUGCUCAGGAUCGGCAGUUGCUGUGCUUCUACUAUGACCAAUGUGAGACCCAUUUCAUUUCCCUUCUCAACGCCAUUGACGCACUCUUCAGUUGUGUCAGCUCAGCCCAGCCCCCGCGAAUCUUCGUGGCACACAGCAAGUUUGUCAUCCUCAGUGCACACAAACUGGUGUUCAUUGGAGACACGCUGACACGGCAGGUGACUGCCCAGGACAUUCGCAACAAAGUCAUGAACUCCAGCAACCAGCUCUGCGAGCAGCUCAAGACCAUAGUCAUGGCAACCAAGAUGGCCGCCCUCCAUUACCCCAGCACCACGGCCCUGCAGGAAAUGGUGCACCAAGUGACAGACCUUUCUAGAAAUGCCCAGCUGUUCAAGCGCUCUUUGCUGGAGAUGGCAACGUUCUGAGAAGAAAAAAAAGAGGAAGGGGACUGCGUUAACGGUUACUAAGGAAAACUGGAAAUACUGUCUGGUUUUUGUAAAUGUUAUCUAUUUUUGUAGAUAUUUUAUAUAAAAAUGAAAUAUUUUAACAUUUUAUGGGUCAGUCAACUUUCAGAAAUUCAGGGAGCUGGAGAGGGAAAUCUUUUUUUUUCCCCCUGAGUGGUUCUUAUGUAUACAUAGAAGUAUCUGAGACAUAAACUGUACAGAAAACUUGUCCACGUGCUUUUGUAUGCCCAUGUAUUCAUGUUUGUUUGUAGAUGUUUGUCUGAUGCAUUUCAUUAAAAAAAAAACCAUGAAUUACGAAGCACCUUAGUAAGCACCUUCUAAUGCUGCAUUUUUUUUGUUGUUGUUAAAAACAUACCAGCUGGUUAUAAUAUUGUUCUCCACGUCCUUGUGAUGAUUCUGAGCCUGGCACUCCCAAAUCUGGGAAGCAUAGUUUAUUUGCAAGUGUUCACCUUCCAAAUCAUGAGGCAUAGCAUGACUUAUUCUUGUUUGGAAAACUCUUUUCAAAACUGACCAUCUUAAACACAUGAUGGCCAAGUGCCCAAAAGCCCUCUUGCGGAGCAAAUUUCAGAAUAUAUAUGUGGAUCCAAGCUCUGAUAGUUCAGGUGCUGGAGGGAAGAGAGACCUGUGUGUUUAGAGGCCAGGACCACAGUUAGGAUUGGGUUGUUUCAAUACUGAGAGACAGCUACAAUAAAAGGAGAGCAAUUGCCUCCCUGGGGCUGUUCAAUCUUCUGCAUUUGUGAGUGGUUCAGUCAUGAGGUUUUCCAAAAGAUGUUUUUAGAGUUGUAAAAACCAUAUUUGCAGCAAAGAUUUACAAAGGCGUAUCAGACUAUGAUUGUUCACCAAAAUAGGGGAAUGGUUUGAUCCGCCAGUUGCAAGUAGAGGCCUUUCUGACUCUUAAUAUUCACUUUGGUGCUACUACCCCCAUUACCUGAGGGAAACUGGCCAGGUCCUUGAUCAUGGAACUAUAGAGCUACCAGGACAUAUCCUGCUCUCUAAGGGAAUUUAUUGCUAUCUUGCACCUUCUUUAAAACUCACAUAUGCAGACCUGACACUCAAGAGUGGCUAGCUACACAGAGUCCAUCUAAUUUUUGCAACUUCCUGUGGCCAGUGUGUAUAACCCCUUCCACUAUCUCACAGAUAGUCACAGCGUCCAUUCCAUAGUCUGUCUCCUCACAUCUGUUAGUAUUGACACAGCACAGACACCACAAGCCAUCAGGUUCUUCAUGGGGCAGGUGAAAUACUUCUACCCCAUGGGUAAAUGUAUUCACAUAUUACCAAGAGAAGAAGCACAUUAUCUAUGAUCUUUUGGCCCAGUUCUUAUUUAGCAUUUUUAUUCCAGCCUACUUGGAAACAUGUUUUUAUUUGCAAUAUAUGCCUGACUGAAUUAAGCUUGCUUGUUUUAAACAACCAAAUCAUUGGAACAGAAAAGGAUUUAAAAAACAAGAAUGCAUGAUCUCAGAGUGAUUAAAAAAAAAUCAGUGGAAAUAAAUGAUCAUAGAAGGUGCUUUUCAAAACAACUGCUAUUAUAAUUCUCAAAGUCCUACUCUGCCAAAAGAAGAUUAAAAGUCAUACAUUACAUUACAAGGAAAUGUUCAUGUGGGAAGAGGGUUGCUGAAAAUCAACAACGCUUGAAGUUAAAAAGUGUGUCUUUGUAGAUUUCAUUGUAUAAUGUGUAUUUCUUAGGAGAUGGCUGACUUGAUUGAUCUACGCUAAGUGGAGACAUUUCACAUUUUUAAAACCAAAUGUUCAAUCUGUAUUACUCUUUGCCGUCUUGUAUGUAGAGGCUAUUUUUAAAUCAUUAAAUUUUUAGAUCUCUGUUUUCAUA